AUAGCAAUAUCCUAGCGGCGAACGGUCGCGUAACACGUAAGCAACCUGCCCCGAAGACCGGGACAACAUCUCGAAAGGGGUGCUAAUACCGGAUGUGGCCGUCUGGGGACAUCCUCGGGCGAUUAAAUCCAGCAAUGGGCUUCGGGAGGGGCUUGCGUCCUAUCAGCUAGUUGGUGGGGUAACGGCCUACCAAGGCGACGACGGGUAGCUGGUCUGAGAGGACGAUCAGCCGGACUGGGACUGAGAUACGGCCCAGACUCCUACGGGGGGCAGCAAUUAGGAAUCUUGCACAAUGGGCGAAAGCCUGAUGCAGCGACGCCGCGUGAGGGAGGAAGUCCUUCGGGAUGUAAACCUCUUUUAUCAGGGAAGAAAAAAAUGACGGUACCUGGUGAAUAAGCUCCGGCUAACUACGUGCCAGCAGCCGCGGUAAUACGUAGGGAGCGAGCGUUGUCCGAAGUUACUGGGCGUAAAGCGCGCGUAGGCGGGUUUGAAAGUCGGAGGUGAAAGGCUGGGGCUCAACCCCAUGCAGUGCCUCCGAUACUUCAAGUCUUGAGUGCGGUAGGGAGAAGUGGAAUGGCUGGUGUAGCGGUGAAAUGCGUAGAUAUCAGUCGGAACACCGGUGGCGAAGGCGGCUUCUUGGGCCGUUACUGACGCUGAGGCGCGAAAGCCAGGGGAGCGAACGGGAUUAGAUACCCCGGUAGUCCUGGCCGUAAACGAUGGAUACUAGGUGUAGGGGGUAUCGACCCCCCCUGUGCCGCAGCUAACGCAUUAAGUAUCCCGCCUGGGGAGUACGGCCGCAGGUUGAAA
RNAcentral lists this ribosomal RNA (807 nucleotides) under uncultured Actinomycetes bacterium. Its description in RNAcentral is "bacterial SSU rRNA". It matches the Rfam family "Bacterial small subunit ribosomal RNA", at positions 81 to 899 of the family's 1533-position model. Lineage: Bacteria; Bacillati; Actinomycetota; Actinomycetes. The record is from RNAcentral.